Macadamia integrifolia is the source of this 2183-nucleotide long non-coding RNA. RefSeq lists it as uncharacterized. Lineage: Eukaryota; Viridiplantae; Streptophyta; Magnoliopsida; Proteales; Proteaceae. The record is from RefSeq and is a predicted model, not a curated record. The transcript is spliced from 2 exons.
UUCAGAUUUCAGCCCUUUUGCUUGAUUGUAGAAUAAUGCAUAAUAUAAAUGUUAGAAUAAGGAUUAGUGUGCCACAGGGGCACAUUGGGGGUUUCCCCUCCCCCAUCCGGCUGGAUGGGGGGUAUAUAAUUGUAAAUGUUUUAUUUUUUCUGUUUUGUACUCCUAUUAUGACUCUAUCAAGAUAGUCAUGACUCCUAUCAUGACUAUCAUGAUUUUAUAUUAUAUAUAGGGGACUUGUGUGAUCAGUUAAAGACACACAAGCAUUCUCCCAUUAUUUUUGUUAACAUGGUACCAGAGCCUAAUUUCUGAUCUAGGUUUUCAGUUUCUUAACAAACCUUCACCUUCUCUCCUCAAAAUUGGCUGAAUUUUUGAGAUCAUCAUCACCAUUACAGAGGAGAUCGACCAGACUUGUGGCCCCAUCUGCCAAGUCUCUGUAUCAAAUCUCCCAUCUUCUGUGAUAAUUAGGGUUUUCUCCUUAAACCCUAAUUUGCUUAUCUUAACAAUUCUUCAUCAAGCCUGAUAUUAUUUGGAGUAUCUCAUUACCCUUACUGGGCAAUUCGAUCCAAGUAUAGAAACUUUUUGACGGUUGAUUUUGAAGAUCUGGUAUUCCCCUUUUUCAUUGUCGAUUUUUUACUAGUUCAAUCAUGUCUAGAGUAACUACUGUGACCUCUGGGUCUGAUGGACAAAGUCGCAAUGACUACAUGCCUUUUGGGACUAGUUCUGUGAAAUUGGACAGAACUAAUUACCUCGUCUGGUCUAGAUCUACAUGCCUUACCAUUGCUGGUAGAGGUCUCACUGGACACAUUUUAGGGAAAUUGAAAAACCCUCUGAUGAGGGUAACCCUCAGGAUAAAUGGGUCACUAAUGACUCCUUAGUAAUGUCUUACUCGAUUGGUUCUAUUUAUCAAUCUAUUUCUCGAGGAUUUUUGCUAUUAGAUAAUGCUUCUUAGAUUUGGGCUGCUGCCAAAGAAACUUAUGGGCAACUAGGGAAUGAUGCUUAGGUAUUUGAACUUCGCAAGAAGGUUUGUACCACUACCCAAUAGGAAUUCUCUGUGUCCAAAUAUUAUGCAAAAUUUUGAAUUCUAUGGUAUGAACUGGACCAUUAUGCAGAUUAUCAUCCAAAAAAUGCUGAAGACAGUAUUGCUUACACCGAACAUGUGGACAAAAUUAGGGUGUAUGAUUUCUUAGCAGGCUUAAAUGUCAUCUAUGAUCAGAUUCGUGUUCAGAUACUUAGCAAAUCUCCCUUCCCUACUUUGGAACAAUCCUUUGCUAUGGUUUAUACUAAAGAAUGUCGCCGUAUCUCGAUGCUACAUACUCCUACUACUGAAAAUUCAGCUCUACAAACUCGAUCCGCUAUUACCUCUAAAGGAGCAAAUCGAAUUGGUGAUUAUGCGAAGGAGAUUUUUAAAUGUGAACACUACCAAAAAUCAUACCAUACUAAGGCCAACUGUUGGAAGCUCUAUGGAAAACCUACUGAUUUUGAGGCAAAGCGUACUCGAGGUCGAUCUAAAAGUAAAGCCCAUCAGGCUGAGACUUCGGACACUCUUUGCAAUUGAUAUUGGACCCUCCCAAGAGGAACUCCAGCUUCCAAUUCUUCAACUCCUGCCAAUUCAGUCCCUUUAGGUUCUAAUUUUGCUCACUCAUGUAUUUUUUUUGUUUAUUGUGCAUCAGUCGUCUCCACUCCCUGGAUCAUUGACUUCGGUGCCACUGAUCACAUUACCAAUUCCACCAGUUUAUUUCACCAAGAUUCACCUACCUCAGGCAGAGAUAAAGUUAGGGUAGCAGAUGGCACCCUAUCAUCUGUCUUUACAAAGGGCUUACGAAGGACCUAAACUGUGAAGUAACCUUUUUUCCUUUCCAUUGCAUUUUCCAAGAUUUGGAAACGGGGAAGACGAUUGGAUGUGGUAAGGUGCGUGGUGGUCUUUAUUUGCUUGAUAAUGGUUGUCUCCCUACUGCUGCAGCAUCAACAACACCUCAUUAGCUACCCUAUGCUUCUUCUGAAUUGACUCAAUGGCAUUGUCGUUUGAGACACCCACCAAUUGGGGCCUUAUCUCUUUUAUUUCCACAUUUAGUUUAAUUAUGUACUAGGGAUAAACUCUUUUGUGAGGCUUGUAAUCUGGCUAAACAGACUUGUUCCAGUUAUUUACCUUUAAAUAAAAGCUCUUCUAUUUUUCAUUUGGUUCA